AUACCGGCUGCUCGAGUGAUGGCCACUAUUACUGGGUUUAAAGCGUCCGUAGCUUGACUGUUAGGUCCCUUGGGAAAUCUUCACGCUUAACGUGAAGGCGUCUAAGAGAUACCGGCAGUCUUGGAACUGGGAGAGGUAAACCGUACGUUCGGGGGUAGGAGUGAAAUCUUGUAAUCCUCGAGGGACGACCUAUGGCGAAGGCAGUUUACCAGAACAGCUUCGACAGUGGAGGGACGAAAGCUGGGGGAGC
This 250-nucleotide ribosomal RNA is filed under the name uncultured bacterium. RNAcentral describes it as "partial 16S ribosomal RNA". It matches the Rfam family "Archaeal small subunit ribosomal RNA", at positions 473 to 720 of the family's 1478-position model. The record is from RNAcentral.